Molecule: ribosomal RNA, 232 nt
Filed under: uncultured bacterium
Lineage: Bacteria
Description: partial 16S ribosomal RNA
Rfam family: Bacterial small subunit ribosomal RNA
Source: RNAcentral
UGGGUAACCUACCCUGGACUUUGGGAUAACCCUCGGAAACGGGGGCUAAUAACCGGAUAUGACGGCUCACCGCAUGGUGUGGUUGUGGAAAGUUUUUCGGUCUGGGAUGGGCUCGCGGCCUAUCAGCUUGUUGGUGGGGUGAUGGCCUACCAAGGCGACGACGGGUAGCCGGCCUGAGAGGGCGACCGGCCACACUGGGACUGAGACACGGCCCAGACUCCUACGGGAGGCA